Molecule: ribosomal RNA, 252 nt
Filed under: uncultured bacterium
Lineage: Bacteria
Description: partial 16S ribosomal RNA
Rfam family: Bacterial small subunit ribosomal RNA
Source: RNAcentral
UACGGAGGAUGCGAGCGUUAUCCGGAUUUAUUGGGUUUAAAGGGUGCGUAGGCGGAGUGCCAAGUCAGCGGUAAAAAUUCGGGGCUCAACCCCGUCGUGCCGUUGAAACUGGCGCCCUUGAGUGGGCGAGAAGUAUGCGGAAUGCGUGGUGUAGCGGUGAAAUGCAUAGAUAUCACGCAGAACCCCGAUUGCAAAGGCAGCAUACCGGCGCCCGACUGACGCUGAAGCACGAAAGCGUGGGUAUCGAACAGG